AUUGAUAGCUAUUACUUUGUGAGGAGCAAGGAGGGAAAGAUCUUGGCUGCUAUUACAACUAUUAUACGUAUCAACAAUAGCUUCCGCAGGUAUGAAUUCGUUUUAUUAAUUUAUUGUAUUGUGAUUCUUAAUUCUUAGCAUGCAAUUAAAUUUCAACAAGUGGUAUCAGAGCUUUCAUGCUGAGAUUAAAAUCCGUCAUUAAAACAAUAAUUUUUGUCUAACUGAAUAAUUCUUAAGUUUCUGCUACCAGUCAAUUUAAAUCUUUGAAAUUGUUAUGUUUUCAAAAUUCUGAAGUCAAAAAAAAAAAAAAAAAAAAAAAUUAAUAAUAAUAAUAAUAUAAUUAAAAUGUUGCGUUAAUGUUUCCACGUUUUCUGUGCAUAUAUUGUAUACAUAUACAAACUGCAAAUGAAUAUUGUAUGGGGAAGAUGACAAAAUUUGGGAUUUUCAUAAACCACAAAAAAGAAACGGCAUUUGGCUGUGCAAUUGCUUUAUCAUGAUUUUGUAAUUGCUUUGUCGUAAUUUUGUUUAAAUAAAAAAAAAAAAUUCUGCAAAACUUAUGUAGGUUUGUAUACCUCUGUACAACAUAGAAUUUCAUUAUUCGUAGAUUAUUAGGUCCGAAGUCGCCACUUGCACUGACGUGCCGCACAAGGCUGCCGACGGCGAGAAGGAAGAAGCGUGGCCGGAUCCACCGCCGCCGCCGUAAAAUUUUUCCAUAGUCAUAGGGUUUUCAGUAGACAUAUGGGUGUUUUGGUGAUGGGGGCUUCUAUUGCAAAUAGUCUAGUUUUAAGCCCCUGUUUGCAAUUAGAAAUUGAAGUUAUGUUGCAACUUAUAAAUAAAAAAAAAGGAGGACUUGUCACGCAAUUUUAAAUAUUGAAGGACCUGAUUUAAAAUUUUUUAUUUGGGUUAAAAUGUAAUUUUCAAUAAGGGGUUCUUAAUUUGAAUUUUUUAAAGUUUUGACCCUAAAAUUUUAAUUUUGACCCAGUUAAAAAUUUUAUUCAAUAAUUGACUCAAUUGAAAUAUAUUAAAUAAUACUAAUAAUUUCAUUGACGACUUUUGUAUUAUUUCAUGCAUUUAAAUUUUGUCAUUAUUUGCGCGCUUAAAUUUCAAUUUUUAUAUACUCAAAUAUUGAAAUUUGUUGUCCCGUUUUGUUUCCAAAUCACAUAUAAAUUUUGCCAUUUGUCGAUUAAUAAUUAUGAUUAUAAUUGUUGUUUUGCGAUUAAAUUUUCAUGGGCAUUGAAACGAUUCUUAUUUUCCCAAUAAGAGAAAUAUUUUGAAAUAAAAAUGGGUGGUAGCUGCCAAAGUGGCACACUCAUUAUUAUUUAUUCAAUUUUCUCUACAAUAAAAAUACAUAUAUUUUUGUCCAACAACUUUUGAUUUAUUGCAUAUAAUAUCUUGCCCAAAGGUGUUAUUAUAUGUAAUAUUUUUGGAAAAUGGCAUGAGAAAGUUAACAGCUUAUUUUGGUUUAGAAAUUUCCUUCUGCCUAAAGGUGUUGGAAUUUCGAAAAUCAAUGUAAUUUUGUUAACUUGCUACAUGAUGUGUUUUAAGAGUACCUUAUAGCAUGUUGUAUUGUCGACCCAAAAGUGACUUUAUGAUGAUGCAUCUAGGCUCUUACCGUAAUAAAAUUUAUAUGUAUCAAUUUAAAUUAUGGAUUAUCUAAUUAAUAGGUCAUAUUAAUUAGUUGGAUAUUUCAUCAUCCAUUUGAUUGCAUGCAUUAAGUUUGGAAGAUAUUAAGAGUGAUAUUUUAUGUUUCCACAGUUUAUAAUGGCUCAUCUCUUUCGAAUCAAUUGUCUGCUAUUGAAACUUUGACUUGGAAUAACUAUGUGAGAUGGAAACGAGACGUAGAAAUAACACUUGGUCUUUUGGGCUUGGAUUUUAUAAUGGAGAAAAAGCUUGAAAAACCCACAGAUAAGAGUACCGUUGAAUAUGUAGCCGAGCGUGAAAAGUGGGAAAGGGCUAACAAACUUUGUUUGAAAAUCAUUAAACGAUCGAUAUUUGAUUCCAUUCUAGGUGCCAUCCCUGAUAAUGAAAAUGCUAAAAGUUUUAUGGAUGCCAUAGGAGAAAAAUUUAUUGAGUCUGAUAAAGUAGAAACUGGGGAUCUGAUGGAUAAAUUUAUGAGCAUGAAAUAUGAUGGCACAAAUGGUGUUAGGGAGCAUGUCAUGAAAAUGAUAAAUAUAUCAUCUAAGUUAAAGGCUCUUGACAUUCCCAUUGCGGAGCCUUUCCUAGUCUAUCAUGUUUUGAAUAGCCUUCCUAGCAAGUUUAAUCAGCUUAAGGUUGCUUACAAUGCUCAGCGGGAUAAGUGGAAUUUGAAUGACCUCGUAGCAGUGUGUGCCCAAGAAGAGUAUAGAAUGCGUCGUGAAACUAUUGAAACUGUGCAAUUAGCUUUUCAGCCAUCACAGAAUAAGAGGCCUUCUCAUAAUCAUAAACCUAAAUUUCGUAAGAGUAACAAGUCUCAUCGAAGUCAACAAAAUAAUAAUUUUAGUGGUCCCAAAGUAGUUAUAAAGAAAAAUGAUCAAUGCAAGUUCUGUAAAAAGAAGGGUCACUAGCAGAAAGACUAUUUUAAGUUCAAGACUUGGUUGGAAAAGAAGAAGAGUUCUUCAGGUAUUCCCUUGGCCUUAGUUUGUUUUGAGUCUUCUUUAGUAGGUGUACCUUUGAAUUCUUGGUGGUUAGACUCGGGAGCUAGUAUUCAUAUUGCGAAUUUCUUGCAGGUGUUCAUAAGCAAACAGAGGCCAAGUGAGAAUGAAGUAAGCUUGAGCGUUGCAAAUGGAUUUCAAGUGAAGGUUAAAUUCAUAGGAGUAGUGAAGUUAACUUUAGAGUCUGGUUUUUAUCUUGUUUUGGAAAAUACAGUUUAUGUACCGCAGAUGAGACGAAAUUUAAUUUCUAUAUCAAAACUUGAUGCUUGUGGUUUUACAUUUAAUUUUGGUAAUGGAAU
Molecule: long non-coding RNA, 2929 nt
Filed under: Olea europaea subsp. europaea
Lineage: Eukaryota; Viridiplantae; Streptophyta; Magnoliopsida; Lamiales; Oleaceae
Source: RNAcentral